GAUGAACGCUGGCGGCGUGCUUAACACAUGCAAGUCGAACGAUGAAGCCCAGCUUGCUGGGUGGAUUAGUGGCGAACGGGUGAGUAACACGUGAGUAACCUGCCCUUAACUCUGGGAUAAGCCUGGGAAACUGGGUCUAAUACCGGAUAGGAGCGCCUACCGCAUGGUGGGUGUUGGAAAGAUUUAUCGGUUUUGGAUGGACUCGCGGCCUAUCAGCUUGUUGGUGAGGUAAUGGCUCACCAAGGCGACGACGGGUAGCCGGCCUGAGAGGGUGACCGGCCACACUGGGACUGAGACAAGGCCCAGACUCCUACGGGAGGCAGCAGUGGGGAAUAUUGCACAAUGGGCGAAAGCCUGAUGCAGCGACGCCGCGUGAGGGAUGACGGCCUUCGGGUUGUAAACCUCUUUCAGUAGGGAAGAAGCGAAAGUGCCGGUACCUGCAGAAGAAGCACCGGCUAACUACGUG
RNAcentral lists this ribosomal RNA (466 nucleotides) under uncultured bacterium. RNAcentral's name for it is "partial 16S ribosomal RNA". It matches the Rfam family "Bacterial small subunit ribosomal RNA", at positions 28 to 507 of the family's 1533-position model. The record is from RNAcentral.